This 1393-nucleotide long non-coding RNA is filed under the name Mus spicilegus (steppe mouse). RNAcentral describes it as "lncRNA (ENSMSIG00000031923.1)". Lineage: Eukaryota; Metazoa; Chordata; Mammalia; Rodentia; Muridae. The record is from RNAcentral.
ACCCCUCAUCCUCAACUUCCCCAUGGCUCCUGGUACUGCCCAGCCCCUGCUGGUCUCACCUGUCACCUCCACUACAGUGAUUCUGUCUAGCUUGAGAUGGAGCUGGGGCCAGCAAAUCCCUUCCCUGCAGUGUGGCCAGCUGAGACGACUGGGGCUCAAGAUCAAAGCAGCCUGGAUCCCAGGGUCUCACACAGAGGACAAGUGGUCUUGGAGAGUUGCCUGACCCACACUGCAGCUUGUGAGACACAGCGACAUGACGUCACAGCCAGUGAGAUUUGGGGCUGUUUGUUACCACAGCAGGAUGCUAGCCUAGCCUGACUAAUAUAGUCCUUCUUGAUAAUCUGGUGGAAACCAUGGAUCUUCUCCCCAGGAAAAUGCAUAGAACCAUUGCAUUUGGGCUACUCUCCUGGUCUGUCUGUCUGUCUGUCUGUUAUCUCUCUCUGUCUCUCUCAUCCCUCAGAUUGAGGAAUUAUGCACAUUUUAUCAGUACUCCUGCCACACUCUGUGACUGAUUGCUGAUAGUGUGGUAAUCCCCUUGGUCACACUGCCUUGCCCUUGAUUCUUUUGCUGGGGGCCUUUGGAGCACCAGUUCUUUACCCCUACCCUAGAAUACCUAAACACGUUCAGAUGGCCAAAAGAGUGAAUGCCUCGGUGGGCAGUCCUCCCUCCCCAGAGGUGUGUGGGAAUCGAACCACAGUUAUCAUUACAUAUCACUAAUGUGCACAUGUGCCUGGAACAUUUACCUGCUCCAAUUCCAUAAGUUAGACCUCCUGGAGUAUACGGGCUCAUUUUAUGUCAACUUGACACAAAGUAGAGUCCCUGGAGAGGAAUUUUCUCAAUUGAAAAAAAUGCUCAAUAAGAUAAGACUAUAGGCAAGCCUGUGGCGGGUGUGUGUGUGUGUGUUUCUCUCUCUUUCUCUCUUUUUCUCUCUCUCUACUUUCCUUCUUUCCUUCCUCCCUUCCUUCCUGUCUUUCUUUUUUUAUUUUUGGUUUUUCAAGACAGGUUUUCUCUGCAGCCCUGGCUGUUCUGAAACUCUCUCUGUAGACAAGGAUGGCCUUGAAUUUACCGAGAUCUACCCACCACUGCCUCCAAGUGCUGGGAUAAAAGGUGUAGGCCACCAGUGCUCAGCUAGAGGGCAUUUUCUUAACUAGUGAUUGAUGGGAGUGGGCUCAGCCUGUUAUGCCUGUGGAUAUCCCUGGGUGGGCGGUCCUGGUUCUAUAAGAAAUCUGACUGAGCAAGCCAUGAGAGCAGUCCAGUGAGCAGCACCCCUCCAUGGCCUCUGAAUCAGCUCCUGCCUCCAGGUUCCUGUCCUGGUUGAGUUCCUGCCCUUGCUGCCUUGGAUGAUGAGCCUGUUACGUGGAACCGUGGAUGAAAUAAACCCUUUUUCUCCCCA